This 492-nucleotide ribosomal RNA is filed under the name uncultured bacterium. RNAcentral's name for it is "bacterial SSU rRNA". It matches the Rfam family "Bacterial small subunit ribosomal RNA", at positions 28 to 513 of the family's 1533-position model. The record is from RNAcentral.
GAUGAACGCUAGCGGCAGGCCUAACACAUGCAAGUCGAGGGGUAACAGGGAGAAGCUUGCUUUUCCGCUGACGACCGGCGCACGGGUGCGUAACGCGUAUACAAUCUGCCUUAUACUGGGGUAUAGCCUUUAGAAAUGAAGAUUAAUCCCCCAUAGUCUCUUAGAGUGGCAUCAUUUUAGGAGUAAAGGUUACGGUAUAAGAUGAGUAUGCGUUCUAUUAGUUUGUUGGUGAGGUAACGGCUCACCAAGGCUACGAUAGAUAGGGGCCCUGAGAGGGGGAUCCCCCACACUGGUACUGAGACACGGACCAGACUCCUACGGGAGGCAGCAGUGAGGAAUAUUGGACAAUGGAGGCAACUCUGAUCCAGCCAUGCCGCGUGCAGGAAGACUGCCCUAUGGGUUGUAAACUGCUUUUAUAUAGGAAGAAACCUACUUACGUGUAAGUAGCUGACGGUACUAUAAGAAUAAGGAUCGGCUAACUCCGUGCCAGCA